RNAcentral lists this long non-coding RNA (955 nucleotides) under Homo sapiens (human). RNAcentral's name for it is "HSALNT0182925". Lineage: Eukaryota; Metazoa; Chordata; Mammalia; Primates; Hominidae. The record is from RNAcentral.
UAGAAGCCCACCCAGUGGCCUGGAAGCCUGGGGACUUGGCCUGCUUGCUGGGGAGAAUCUUGCUCCACUAAGGGGUUAAAGGCACUCCAUCUAACUUGGAUCAACGAUCCCAGGGCUGUUGAAGGAGAUGACAGGCCCAUGUGUGUGCCCACACUGGCUCCAAGCAGAGAGGAACCAGUUCUACCUCAAGACUCCCAGGCACCCCCGAUCUGGAAGACAGAGCUCUAUCUUGCUGCAAAGCUACAUCUGCCCACCAGAUGAGCAGUACCUGUAAAAACUUCCCACAUCAAGCCUUGUGGGGCUAAUGCCUCUUCCAGAGCCGCUGACAACAGGAAAAUGAUCCUAGCACUGCACUUCCCAAAGGACUCAGAGAUUCUUGCCCUGGAGCCAGGAAUGGGGAGUUUGAUGUUGUGUUGUCCACAGACAUUCCAGAAGGAAAGGGUUGCAGUAGGAGAAGGCCUGGACGAACAAGAGGAGGGACCAGGGAACAAAAGCAGAUUCUCAAAGAGGUCAAUAUAUAUUGGCUAAUUGCUUAAUAUUGGUAAUAGUAUUAAUAACAAAAAUCCCUACCAUUUACUGAAGGCCUUUAGCAUGCCAGGCCUCUUGCAGACAUCGCUCCAAUUCAUUCUCACAGCCUUGCAGAAUAUGUAUUACUUUCCCCAUUCUACAGAAGAAGAAACUGCUACUCCCAGAGGGUAUGCUUUCAAAGAUCACAGGGCUGCCACCAAGCCUGCUGCUUCAUGUCUGAGUGAAACAGAGCAAUCUCCCAGAUAACAGGAGACGGGUAGGUGGAAACAUUUCUAAAAUGGGGCUGAAGGAGAGCAAGUAAGCGCCAAACCUCGGUCCCAGCCCCUCUUGGAAUUGAGUUAAAGAGAAAAGAAGAGCUAAGAGCUCAGCGUUCCUGAAAGCAGCAUGGGUGUCUUUUUUAAUAAACACGCCAAAGCUUGACUCUCUG